AGAGUUUGAUUAUGGCUCAGAACGAACGCUGGCGGCGUGCCUAACACAUGCAAGUCGAGCGAGAAAGUCCCGGCAACGGGAUGAGUAAGGCGGCAAACGGGUGAGUAACGCGUGGGUAAUCUACCCUACGGAUCGGGAUAACCUGCCGAAAGGUGGACUAAUACCGGAUGAUGUUCUCGCGGUGAUUCCGUGGGAACCAAAGGGGGCGAGCGUAAGCAGCUCUCACCGAAGGAGGAGCCUGCGUCCGAUUAGCUAGUUGGUGGGGUAAUGGCCUACCAAGGCGACGAUCGGUAGCCGGCCUGAGAGGGCGAUCGGCCACACUGGAACUGAGACACGGUCCAGACUCCUACGGGAGGCAGCAGUGGGGAAUAUUGCGCAAUGGGCGAAAGCCUGACGCAGCGACGCCGCGUGGGUGAUGAAGGCCUUCGGGUCGUAAAGCCCUGUCUGGUGGAACGAAACGCCUGGCGGCCAAUACCUGCCGGGUUUGACGGUACCACCGAGGGAAGCCCCGGCUAACUACGUGCCAGCAGCCGCGGUAAGACGUAGGGGGCGAGCGUUGUUCGGAUUUACUGGGCGUAAAGCGCGCGUAGGCGGCCAGAUAAGUCGGGUGUGAAAGCCCUCGGCUCAACCGAGGUUCCGCAUCCGAUACUGCUUGGCUGGAGUCUAGGAGAGGAGAGCGGAAUUCCCAGUGUAGCGGUGAAAUGCGUAGAUAUUGGGAGGAACACCCGUGGCGAAGGCGGCUCUCUGGACUAGUACUGACGCUGAGGCGCGAAAGCUAGGGGAGCGAACGGGAUUAGAUACCCCGAUAGUCCUAGCCGUAAACGAUGGGCACUAGGUGUGGGAGGUAUUGACCCCUUCCGCGCCGAAGCUAACGCAUUAAGUGCCCCGCCUGGGGAGUACGGCCGCAAGGCUAAAACUCAAAGGAAUUGACGGGGGCCCGCACAAGCGGUGGAGCAUGUGGUUCAAUUCGACGCAACGCGAAGAACCUUACCAGGGCUUGACAUCCCACGAACCUGCCUGAAAGGGCGGGGUGCCCGCAAGGGAGCGUGGAGA
Molecule: ribosomal RNA, 1053 nt
Filed under: uncultured Candidatus Methylomirabilis sp.
Lineage: Bacteria; Methylomirabilota (SeqCode); Methylomirabilia (SeqCode); Methylomirabilales (SeqCode); Methylomirabilaceae (SeqCode)
Description: bacterial SSU rRNA
Rfam family: Bacterial small subunit ribosomal RNA
Source: RNAcentral